Molecule: ribosomal RNA, 253 nt
Filed under: uncultured bacterium
Lineage: Bacteria
Description: partial 16S ribosomal RNA
Rfam family: Bacterial small subunit ribosomal RNA
Source: RNAcentral
UACGUAGGGGGCUAGCGUUGUCCGGAAUCAUUGGGCGUAAAGAGCGUGUAGGCGGUUCGGUAAGUCCUCUGUGAAAGUCCAGGGCUCAACCCUGGAAUGCCAGUGGAAACUGCCGAGCUAGAGUCCGGAAGAGGCGAGUGGAAUUCCUGGUGUAGCGGUGAAAUGCGCAGAUAUCAGGAGGAACACCAAUGGCGAAAGCAGCUCGCUGGGACGGUACUGACGCUGAGACGCGAAAGCGUGGGGAGCAAACAGG